RNAcentral lists this unclassified non-coding RNA (180 nucleotides) under uncultured Rhizobiaceae bacterium. RNAcentral's name for it is "partial 16S-23S ribosomal RNA intergenic spacer". The record is from RNAcentral. Lineage: Bacteria; Pseudomonadati; Pseudomonadota; Alphaproteobacteria; Hyphomicrobiales; Rhizobiaceae.
GAAACGCAAUACGCCACGGAAUUACUUCGGUAAUCGGAUGGUAUGGCGAGCUUUCGCCGUCCACGUUUCUCUUUCUUCAAAAAGACAAGAACCGCGUCGACCUAGAGGGAUACUGGGCCGGUUUGANCGAGAAUGGGCCCGUAGCUCAGUUGGUUAGAGCACACGCNUGAUAAGCGUGGG